GGAAUAUUGCACAAUGGGCGCAAGCCUGAUGCAGCAACGCCCCGUGAGGGAUGAAGGCCUUCGGGUUGUAAACCUCUUUUAGCAGGGAAGAAGCGAAAGUGACGGUACCUGCAGAAAAAGCACCGGCUAACUACGCGCCAGCAGCCGCGGUAAUACGUAGGGUGCAAGCGUUGUCCGGAAUUAUUGGGCGUAAAGAGCUCGUAGGCGGUUUGUCACGUCUGCUGUGAAAAUCCAAGGCUCAACCUUGGACUUGCAGUGGGUACGGGCAGGCUAGAGUGCGGUAGGGGAGAUGGGAAUUCCUGGUGUAGCGGUGGAAUGCGCAGAUAUCAGGAGGAACACCAAUGGCGAAGGCACAUCUCUGGGCCGUAACUGACGCUGAGGAGCGAAAGCGUGGGGAGC
RNAcentral lists this ribosomal RNA (399 nucleotides) under uncultured bacterium. Its description in RNAcentral is "bacterial SSU rRNA". It matches the Rfam family "Bacterial small subunit ribosomal RNA", at positions 358 to 769 of the family's 1533-position model. The record is from RNAcentral.